AAGUCUGACCUGCCCAAUGAAAAAAUUUAAUGGCCGCAGUAUUUUGACUGUGCAAAGGUAGCAUAAUCAUUAGUUUCUUAAUUAGAAACUGGAAUGAAAGGUUGAACGAAAAAAUAACUGUCUCUUAAUAAAUUAUUUAGAAUUUUAUUUUUAAGUUAAAAAGCUUAAAUAUAAUUAAAAGACGAGAAGACCCUAUAGAGUUUUAUAUAAAAUUUUAUAUUUUUUAAGGUUGAAUUUUAUUAAUUUUAUAAAAUUUUAUAAUUAAUUGGGGUGAUUGAAAAAUUUAAUUAACUUUUUUUUUUAGAAACAUUUAUUUAUGAAUAAUUGAUCCAAAAUUUUUGAUUAUAAGAAUAAAUUACCUUAGGGAUAACAGCGUAAUUUCUUUUAAGAGUUCUGAUCGAUAAAGAAGUUUGCGACCUCGAUGUUGGAUUAAAAUUAAUUUUUGGUGUAGAAGCUAAAAUAUUAGGUCUGUUCGACCUUUGAAAUUUUACAUGAUCUGAGUUUAGACCGGUGUAAGCCAGGUCGGUUUCUAUCUUUAAUUAAGAUAAAAUAUUUUAGUACGAAAGGACCAAAUAUUUAUAAAAAUUAU
RNAcentral lists this ribosomal RNA (589 nucleotides) under Thendelecrotona sp. HE-2010. Its description in RNAcentral is "partial 16S ribosomal RNA". It matches the Rfam family "Bacterial large subunit ribosomal RNA", at positions 1850 to 2712 of the family's 2925-position model. Lineage: Eukaryota; Metazoa; Arthropoda; Insecta; Coleoptera; Staphylinidae. The record is from RNAcentral.